This is a long non-coding RNA of Amphiprion ocellaris (clown anemonefish), 1756 nucleotides long. NCBI's taxonomy places the organism in Eukaryota, Metazoa, Chordata, Actinopteri, Pomacentridae. The record is from Ensembl.
AGGAGCUGAACUGCAGAGAUUGUACUGUCGUGUAGCGUCGGUAAAAGUCGAUAAUUAUACAUAUAUUCUUAUUUUUAUUAGAGGAGAGAGGUGUGUUGUCGGUUAGUAGACUCGUAAAGUUAGAAAGUGGGUAAUUUGGAGCAGUUUUUUUCUCACAAAUUCACUUAAUUAGCACGAAGGCCGUAUCCUCCUGUGGACUGCUGCUAGCUAGCUAGCUAUCUCUCGCGCACUUGGUUGCUAAUUGAUUGUGUGUGGAGAAACACCUGCGCAAGUGCGCGUGAGUAGAGUCGCUAUUAACUGAAGUCAUGCGGACGUAUGACUUAUUGCUUACUGGGAAUAACAUGGGUCAAAUAAAAUGCAUUUUAGCACAGUUUGUGGGUUUUUGGAUAGCGGGCUUCGGUUGCUCCAUGCUAGAGGAACAUGGCAGAGCUCUUCGUUGAAUGCAGAAAUCCCUCAACUGGUUCAAGUUUCUUCCAAGAAACGCUUAUAACCCCUGGCCUCAUUGACAGCGGAUGAGAGAAUCAUACCAGCAGGGGGCAGCGUCACACUCCUAUAUGGAUGUAUGACUGAUUCAGACGUACCUCAUCAUCCUCUACACCUGAGACGGUGCAAGGUGGAGCACUGUAGUACACUAUCAGGACUUCAGAAAGAGGUAUCAUUGCAGAGGAAGAAGAGGAGACCCAGUCAGUCUAUACAGAGGACAGUAACACCCACACAAUUGAGAAAAGAGGUGUGAUGUUUUAUUUUGAAAUUGGAAAACAUAGAUUCAUGAGUAAUGUUACAGUAACACCUGAUAACUACAGAGUUGUUGCUAAUUUUGUAUUCUUGUUUCAUCCACUUUGAAUAUUUGAACAGUUUUCAACAAGGCUUUCAUCACACAGCAGCCUAACUGACCUCAGAUUUUCAGAGGGGAGACCAGCAAUUCAGGACACCUUAACCUUAGAAGUGAGCACUGCAGGUGCUAGAAUGGUCCAUAAAAGUUUUAGUCUGCAGUGUCUGACAAAACUUCAAUUUUUUGUCUUUGUGAAUUCAUCUGGUUGUCUCAACAGGGAAGCAGCAUGAGCCAGAGGAGGGCGCUGUUUACACUGAUGUGAAGAUGGAGACUAAAAUGUGGAGGUGCACAGCAUGGAAAUUUUCCACCUGAGCGUGGCUGCUUGAGGGGGCGUAGGUGCUAAAAUGACGUAAUUUGUCCACCUGGAGCCGCACGGACCUUGCGGCCGCGCUGAAGCAAUGAAGCCAAGGAACAAAGGGAUCCUCUUUCCAGUCACAGGAAAGUCGAGUGUGCAGCAGCAGAUGCAACAGUUUACUUUUAAUUCCAAUUUGAAACGGCUGUCGAUCAUGUUGCUACCAUAAGUCCUCUCAGACCACUUCAGCUAAUAUGCAGACUGGUCGGAAUGGAAGUACUACCAACCCCAGCUUUAAGAUUGGAGGAGGUCCCUUCAAGUGUUGGUAUGCCUAAUUAAGUGCCCAGUGAAUGUAAAAUGCAAUACAAAAAAUAACUAACAUGGCUUUUUUUGCAGAGAUCGGAAACCUCAAGUGAGAGAUGGUUGAGCUUUAACAACAAUUUUACUAUUGCUGCAAAAGACCUGUUAAAGCUCAUUCAAAGUGGCUUAGCAUUGCACAUAAAUGUAGAAACGUUCGUUAAUAUGGGCAUUCUACACAUACAUGAUCUGUUAGAUUGUCCACAGAUUGUCGGGCCAUAUGUAUGUCUCAAUGUUCAAUCACUGUCUUGAACAGAUUCUCUUUUUGAAGAAGC